RNAcentral lists this unclassified non-coding RNA (340 nucleotides) under soil metagenome. RNAcentral describes it as "partial contains 5.8S ribosomal RNA, internal transcribed spacer 2, and large subunit ribosomal RNA". The stretch from base 1 to 120 matches the Rfam family "5.8S ribosomal RNA", at positions 35 to 154 of the family's 154-position model. The record is from RNAcentral.
GAUGAAGAACGUAGCGAAAUGCGAUAAGUAAUGUGAAUUGCAGAAUUCAGUGAAUCAACGAAUCUUUGAACGCACAUUGCGCCCGCCAGUAUUCUGGCGGGCAUGCCUGUUCGAGCGUCAUUUCAACCAUCAAGCCCCCGGGCUUGUGUUGGGGACCUGCGGCUGCCCGCAGGCCCUGAAAACCAGUGGCGGGCUCGCUGUCACACCGAGCGUAGUAGCAUAUCAUCUCGCUCUGGGCGUGCUGCGGGUUCCGGCCGUUAAAGCCUUUUUUUUUACCCAAGGUUGACCUCGGAUCAGGUAGGAAGACCCGCUGAACUUAAGCAUAUCAAUAAGCGGAGGA